Molecule: ribosomal RNA, 253 nt
Filed under: uncultured bacterium
Lineage: Bacteria
Description: partial 16S ribosomal RNA
Rfam family: Bacterial small subunit ribosomal RNA
Source: RNAcentral
UACGUAGGGGGCAAGCGUUGUCCGGAUUUAUUGGGCGUAAAGAGCGUGUAGGCGGCCUGAAAGGUCAGCUGUGAAAACUCGAGGCUCAACCUCGAGACGUCGGUUGAAACCAUCUGGCUAGAGUCCGGAAGAGGAGAGUGGAAUUCCCGGUGUAGCGGUGAAAUGCGCAGAUAUCGGGAAGAACACCCGUGGCGAAGGCGGCUCUCUGGGCCGGUACUGACGCUGAGGAGCGAAAGCGUGGGGAGCGAACAGG